This 277-nucleotide ribosomal RNA is filed under the name Blastocystis sp. RNAcentral's name for it is "partial small subunit ribosomal RNA". It matches the Rfam family "Eukaryotic small subunit ribosomal RNA", at positions 42 to 348 of the family's 1831-position model. Lineage: Eukaryota; Bigyra; Opalinata; Blastocystidae. The record is from RNAcentral.
GAUUAAGCCAUGCAUGUGUAAGUGUAAAUAGUAAAGAGUGGAACUGCGAAUGGCUCAUUAUAUCAGUUAUAGUUUAUUUGAUGAACGAUACUAAUGGAUAACCGUAGUAAUUCUAGAGCUAAUACAUGAAUGAUAAAUCCAAAUGGAUAUGUUUAUUAGUUUGACCACAAAUGUGGUGAGUAAUAAUAAUGAAUGAAAUCGCAUGCUUGAUAAGUAGCGAUGGAUCAUUUAAGUUUCUGCCCUAUCAGCUGUGUUGGUAGUGUAUUGGACUACCAUG